AUUGAACGCUGGCGGCAGGCCUAACACAUGCAAGUCGAGCGGAUGAAGGGAGCUUGCUCCUGGAUUCAGCGGCGGACGGGUGAGUAAUGCCUAGGAAUCUGCCUGGUAGUGGGGGAUAACGUCCGGAAACGGGCGCUAAUACCGCAUACGUCCUGAGGGAGAAAGUGGGGGAUCUUCGGACCUCACGCUAUCAGAUGAGCCUAGGUCGGAUUAGCUAGUUGGUGGGGUAAAGGCCUACCAAGGCGACGAUCCGUAACUGGUCUGAGAGGAUGAUCAGUCACACUGGAACUGAGACACGGUCCAGACUCCUACGGGAGGCAGCAGUGGGGAAUAUUGGACAAAGGGCGAAAGCCUGAUCCAGCCAUGCCGCGUGUGUGAAGAAGGUCUACGGAUUGUAAAGCACUUUAAGUUGGGAGGAAGGGCAGUAAGUUAAUACCUUGCUGUUUUGACGUUACCAACAGAAUAAGCACCGGCUAACUUCGUG
This 484-nucleotide ribosomal RNA is filed under the name uncultured bacterium. Its description in RNAcentral is "partial 16S ribosomal RNA". It matches the Rfam family "Bacterial small subunit ribosomal RNA", at positions 30 to 507 of the family's 1533-position model. The record is from RNAcentral.